This 163-nucleotide ribosomal RNA is filed under the name Leptospiraceae bacterium. RNAcentral describes it as "partial 23S ribosomal RNA". It matches the Rfam family "Bacterial large subunit ribosomal RNA", at positions 2761 to 2925 of the family's 2925-position model. The record is from RNAcentral. Lineage: Bacteria; Pseudomonadati; Spirochaetota; Leptospiria; Leptospirales; Leptospiraceae.
GGGAUAACCGCUGAAAGCAUAUAAGUGGGAAGCCUCUCUAAAGAUAAGAUCUCCCUCCGCAAGGCUAAAGGCCCCGGGAAGAUUACCCGGUUGAUAGGCUACAGAUGUAAGCAUUGUAAGAUGUUCAGUCGAGUAGUACUAAUAGGCCGUGAGACUUGACCAU